CAAUCUGCAACGCUCUUUUCUCUUUCUGAAAACUGUUUUAUGGGGAAUCAAGGGAUACUAUCGGGCUGUUCUCCCUUUCGACAGUUGAUAUUCGGAUUUUAAAUAUAAAAAUAGUGGGCCACGAAAAUAUUAAAUUUAAAUAUGUACAAGAUCAAAUAUUUUCAUAUUGAUGCCUGCCCAUUGUUCGACCAACUUUGUUCUCCCCAACUUUCACAACCAAGAAAAGAAAAACCAUGGAAUUCAAAACAUCAUCUCCGUACAAUAUUUCUUACCAUAUAUGAGCUAGACUUGCAAGUGAAAUAGUUAAUCCAAUAAAAGUCGCUUAAUUAAUCAAUCGAUGGAGAGAUUAACCCUAUCUUAGAAAAAAGAACAACCAGUGGUCGACAGAACGGCUAUGCUUCUGCUUGUUAUAGCAUUUCCAAUCAGUAAAUAAAUAUCGUGUGUAUAUGUACCUUGAAGGGAAAGAA
Drosophila pseudoobscura is the source of this 467-nucleotide long non-coding RNA. RefSeq lists it as uncharacterized. NCBI's taxonomy places the organism in Eukaryota, Metazoa, Arthropoda, Insecta, Diptera, Drosophilidae. The record is from RefSeq and is a predicted model, not a curated record. The transcript has 2 exons.